GACGAACGCUGGCGGCGUGCUUAACACAUGCAAGUCGAGCGGGGUCCAUCCAGUAGCAAUACUGGUGAAGACCUAGCGGCGAACGGGUGAGUAACACGUGAGCAACCUGCCCCGAAGUCUGGGAUAACACCGGGAAACCGGUGCUAAUACCGGAUGUCCUCACCGAGUCACCUGGCUUGAUGAGGAAAGAUUUAUCGCUUCGGGAGGGGCUCGCGGCCUAUCAGCUUGNGGCGGGGUAACGGCCCACCAAGGCUUCGACGGGUAGCUGGUCUGAGAGGACGACCAGCCACACUGGGACUGAGACACGGCCCAGACUCCUACGGGAGGCAGCAGUGGGGAAUCUUGCGCAAUGGGCGAAAGCCUGACGCAGCAACGCCGCGU
RNAcentral lists this ribosomal RNA (381 nucleotides) under uncultured bacterium. Its description in RNAcentral is "bacterial SSU rRNA". It matches the Rfam family "Bacterial small subunit ribosomal RNA", at positions 28 to 402 of the family's 1533-position model. The record is from RNAcentral.